Molecule: long non-coding RNA, 1663 nt
Organism: Salvelinus fontinalis (brook trout)
Lineage: Eukaryota; Metazoa; Chordata; Actinopteri; Salmoniformes; Salmonidae
Exons: 4
Source: RefSeq, a predicted model, not a curated record
UGUCAGUAACAGAAGUUGAGGUUUUGGAAGCAGAGCACCAAGGAUUUAUUCAGCACAACAGGGAGAGAUUGUUGCACUCACCCGGGCAUGUCAGUUGGGGAUCGAUUCUAGGCCCAACAGGAGAGUUGCAGAGUAAGGUGACACAUAGAUCCAACCAGGAGAUUGGGUCUGGGUCCAAUCCCUCAAGAAAAAAGACUGGAAACAGCCACGGUGGGAAGGACCAUACCAGGUGCUACUGGUGACAGCCUUUGCAGUACAAAUAGCGGAAAGAGCCACCUUGGUCCAUAUUACACACUGCAAGAGGAUGGAGCUGCCACCUCGACCAAAACUCUUUGACUUCCAUGGAGUCUCCAUGACCAACUACUUCACUGGCAACUGGGACAAUGUACAGAACUUCCAGGCCAGACCAGAUGACAUUCUCAUCGCUACCUACCCCAAAGCAGGAACCACAUGGGUCUCCUACAUUCUAGACCUGCUGUAUUUUGGCCAGACAGACCCUGAGCAUCAGAGACCCAUCUUUGAGAAAGUUCCUUUCCUGGAGUUGCUCCUUCCUCUUUACCCUCCAGGUUUGAAUAGAAUGAAUGGAAUUUGAAUGUCUAUAUGACCCGAAGCGGUUAAAGAGCCAGCAACUUGCACAUACACACACCCUCCACUUUUCACAGCUGUCUCAGCUGUAUGUUCACUAUGCCUGUGGACAGCAUGACACUCGCACUGUAAAAAGUGGGAUGGCGCUGUUGUUCAUCUGAAGUGCUUCUACUAUUUGGAAUGAUAGAAAAUUACACUACUUUAUUCAAUACUUAAAUAAAAGUAUUUUUCAAGUGAAAAAAAUUGCUUGAAAACUAGCCGUCUGUCAUUGAAUGACAACAAACACUUCUUUGAAGAAUCCCUACUGUUGACCAAUCACGGAACUUCGACUUACCUCAAGAAAGAAUGUGUGCUUCAACAGCCCACGCUGUUGAACAUCAACGCUGUCGAACAUCAAAAAUAACAAAAAUGACACAAAAUGUUGUCAUAAUAUAUGCGCAAACUGUAUUGACUGGGAAGCAUGUGGUAAGCUUAAUGUAAUAUUAACUUCGCUCAAUUCUGUGUCCAGCUGCCACAUAGUGGUGAAUUUCAGGUAAUUUUAAGUGCCCCCGUUUAUUCAGUAGUGACACAUGAGAUGGUGAAAGAGCAGAAAAUCUCCUCAGCUCUGGAGUAGAUCCAGAACAAACCAGACCCUUUCCCUCAAGUGAAAAGAAAAUGAUGGAAGAGAGAUUGGGGAGGAGAUGGGAAAGGAGGAGCACAGAGAAUAAAUUAGGAGUCAUUUUGUAAGCAGUGCAUUCACCCUGAGGUAUCUUACUCAGAAAGAGCAGGGUAAGUCAGUUGUUUUGGUUUGUAGGAAUUGCUUUCAUGUGUAGUAUGGUUUUACUGUCAUCAUUUGAGAAACAUUAAGACUUAGGCUUUGUUUAAAGGAUUCAACCCUUUUUUCAAUUUUCGAUUAAUGACAUACCCAAAUUGAACUGCCUGUAGCUCAGGACCUGCUGCAAGGAUAUGCAUAUUCUUGAUACCAUUUGAAAGGAAACACUUUGAAGCUUGUGGCAAUGUGAAAUGAAUGUUGGAGAAUAUAACACAUUCGAUCUGUUAACAGAUUAUACAAUGAAAAUAAAAUAAUUUUUUCUCCUUU